UAACUGAAGAGUUUGAUCAUGGCUCAGAUUGAACGCUGGCGGCAGGCUUAACACAUGCAAGUCGAGCGGAGAGAGGUAGCUUGCUACUGAUCUUAGCGGCGGACGGGUGAGUAAUGCUUAGGAAUCUGCCUAUUAGUGGGGGACAACAUUUCGAAAGGA
RNAcentral lists this ribosomal RNA (159 nucleotides) under Acinetobacter oleivorans. Its description in RNAcentral is "partial 16S ribosomal RNA". It matches the Rfam family "Bacterial small subunit ribosomal RNA", at positions 1 to 159 of the family's 1533-position model. Lineage: Bacteria; Pseudomonadati; Pseudomonadota; Gammaproteobacteria; Moraxellales; Moraxellaceae. The record is from RNAcentral.